CGCAGCCGCGGUAAUUCCAGCUCCAAUAGCGUAUAUUAAAGUUGUUGCAGUUAAAAAGCUCGUAGUUGAAUUUCGGGAUCAAUAUGUUGGUCGUGCCUCGGUACGUACUAGCUUAUUGGUUUCUCCUUUCUGAAGAACCAUGAUGUCAUUUAUUUGGUGUCGUGGGGAAUCAGGACUGUUACUUUGAAAAAAUUAGAGUGUUUAAAGCAGGCUCACGCUUGAAUACAUUAGCAUGGAAUAAUGAAAUAGGACGUUUGAUUCUAUUUUGUUGGUUUCUAGGAUCGACGUAAUGAUUAAUAGGGAUAGUUGGGGGCAUUAGUAUUCAAUUGUCAGAGGUGAAAUUCUUGGAUUUAUUGAAGACUAACUACUGCGAAAGCAUUUGCCAAGGAUGUUUUCAUUAAUCAAGAACGAAAGUUAGGGGAUCGAAGACGAUCAGAUACCGUCGUAGUC
RNAcentral lists this ribosomal RNA (450 nucleotides) under uncultured Glomeromycotina. Its description in RNAcentral is "SSU rRNA". It matches the Rfam family "Eukaryotic small subunit ribosomal RNA", at positions 569 to 1025 of the family's 1831-position model. Lineage: Eukaryota; Fungi; Glomeromycota. The record is from RNAcentral.